CACGAACUGCGCGAACGUUAUUCGGAAUUACUGGGCUUAAAGAGUUCGUAGGCGGCUUCGUCAGUCGGGUGUGAAAUCCCUUGGCUCAACCAAGGAAUUGCGCCCGAUACUGCGGGGCUUGAGGGAGUCAGAGGUGAGCGGAACUGAUGGUGGAGCGGUGAAAUGCGUUGAUAUCAUCAGGAACACCGGUGUCGAAGGCGGCUCACUGGGACUCUACUGACGCUGAGGAACGAAAGCUAGGGGAGCGAACGGG
RNAcentral lists this ribosomal RNA (253 nucleotides) under uncultured bacterium. RNAcentral describes it as "partial 16S ribosomal RNA". It matches the Rfam family "Bacterial small subunit ribosomal RNA", at positions 524 to 776 of the family's 1533-position model. The record is from RNAcentral.